Molecule: non-coding RNA, 1334 nt
Organism: Solanum lycopersicum (tomato)
Lineage: Eukaryota; Viridiplantae; Streptophyta; Magnoliopsida; Solanales; Solanaceae
Source: RefSeq, a predicted model, not a curated record
CAGGAAUGUAUAAAUUUAAGUAUAAAUAUUAAGCUAUGAUUAUGACAUGUUUUCUUUAUAUUGGAUUUAGUAAGAACAUUUGAGGAUGAAACAACUAGGAUUUACAAUUGAGAAAAGUUACGUAACUAAAUAAAUAUUGAUUUAUUUGAUAUAGCUAUAAUUACGAUAAUUUUGAUUUGCAACUAAUGUUAAAUUUGAAUGGUUAUUAAUUUUGUGCGGUCUCAUCAACUCAAUUUUAUCAACUUAUAAUUAUCUCUUGCCUAUUUUCUUAUUUAUUUAUACAAAUUAGUUUUUUUUUCUUCUCAUUUUACAUAUAACCUAUUUUUCACCUUAAUUCACUCAACCAUAAGCUAUUUUUGAAAUUUCAAAGAUAUCGUUUCUCCCUUUUAAUCAUUCUUCCUUUAUUAAAUUCAUUUAAAAGGUUUAAAUACAAUAGAAUAGUAGUAACCAUCCAAAAGUACUCCCAAAAUCAUGCAUAAGUUCCACAAUUUUUUUUCUCUUCUCUCAAAACUUUUCCUUAUCCGAAAUAAUUUCUAUCGGUUUCAUUGACUUUUUUUCGCUAUCAUAUUAAAGUAUGAUUGUCUUUUUUAAGACAAAUGUUAUAUUUGUGCGCUUAUAUUUUGUAAUUCAUUGGUGAAGGAGUACACACAAUCUUAAAAUUAUAAAUCUGUCACUGAGCGUAAGGUAGAAAAAAUUACAUCUACAAACAACAAAUCGAAAUCAUCCGAAGAAAAAGGUAUUCAAACUGAGUUAUUGGACCAACAAGAUGGGAAGAUUUGAGCUGCUGAAUUCUUCCUGUUCUUCCAAUUUGAAGUGAAGAUAAACCUUGAACCCAUUUGCAUCACUUCGGUUGGUGCCAGUUGGGCCAUUUUGGGCUGGACCAUUACUAUCAUUCAUUAUGUGCAACAGACAAGGGAAAAUUACGCGGUUAAAAAAUAUGUACUAUUUAAUUAUUUAUUAUAAGCAAUAGUUUGUUUUAAUUACUAUUCGUGAAUAACAUUAUACAUUAAUUAUGUGGGCUGACUUUGAUUUUAUAUAAUAAAUCAUGUUUGUAUAUGUAUAAUUCCCCAGAAUAUACAAAUACAUAAGUAUAUAUAAUUGACAAUUAUUUUACUGACAUAAAUAUACAAUUCACCGCUCUUCUAUUCUUUGUCCUUUCUCGCUCGUAUCUCUCCUCCCCCUCCCAAACUCGCUCUCCUCGCUCUCCCAAUCUCACUUGCCAUAUAUACAAGUGCAUAUGUAUGAUAUACAAUUAUCUAACCUAUAUACACAUAUAGUUCACCUCUCUCCCACUCUAUGCCCUCUUUCGCUCUCCUCUGUCCUCCCUAUCUCAA